RNAcentral lists this unclassified non-coding RNA (529 nucleotides) under Hevea brasiliensis (rubber tree). The record is from RNAcentral. Lineage: Eukaryota; Viridiplantae; Streptophyta; Magnoliopsida; Malpighiales; Euphorbiaceae.
AAACUGUGCACGCAUAAUUUGAAGGAGAUGCCAGAACUCUUUUCUUUCUUCAUAUAUUUAUGUACAUGGACAUUUUUUUUCAGCUUGCUUCACAGAGACCAGUGGCUGAAUCACAAAAUCCAUCACGAUCGAGCAACUGCUGAGGUGGAGCGCUAAGCAGAGGAGACGAUGGACUUCCAUAUGCAUUUCGUCUACUAUUCCCACAGCCUAGACUUUUUCUGGUGCUAACUCCUGUCACGGGGUUAGUCCCACUAGCAUACUUGCAAAGUGCCUGUUUCUGCAGGAGGUCUAUAACAGCAUCACUGAAAUCAGCACCUUCAAUGAUGGCACCACCAAGGUCACUCCGAGUCAAAACAGAUCGAACAAGAACAGCAUUAGUGAGAUUAGCUUCAUUAAGUACCAUCCGAUCCAUCAAUGUGUCACUCAAAUCUGCACCUGAGAAGUUCGCUUUAUAUGCAACUGCUUUCUCUAGGUAUGCACCAUUGAACGUUGAACCACUGAAAUCCGAUUCCCUCAUAUCAGCAGAUGU